This 119-nucleotide ribosomal RNA is filed under the name Aegilops tauschii subsp. strangulata. Lineage: Eukaryota; Viridiplantae; Streptophyta; Magnoliopsida; Poales; Poaceae. The record is from RNAcentral.
GGAUGCGAUCAUACCAGCACUAAAGCACCGGAUCCCAUCAGAACUCUGAAGUUAAGCGUGCUUGGGCGAGAGUAGUACUAGGAUGGGUGACCUCCUGGGAGGUCCUCGUGUUGCAUUCC